RNAcentral lists this long non-coding RNA (1308 nucleotides) under Manacus vitellinus (golden-collared manakin). RNAcentral describes it as "lncRNA (ENSMVIG00005009101.1)". The record is from RNAcentral. Lineage: Eukaryota; Metazoa; Chordata; Aves; Passeriformes; Pipridae.
GGAAGAGGGCAGUUCUUAGGACUGUUAGGAAGAGAAAGGCAAGGCCUUGUCUUACCCUGGACUUUCACAGGGUAAAUUAAUUCUGAUUACACAAAGUAAUCAGAAUUAACCCAGCAAUGAGAGAUUUAAUCUAAAAGAGUAAGAUGCACACAUCCACCUGUGCGUUUGUGUACCCACACACUCUUUGGAGAGAAGAUACUUGAGGCUUGGCAGGUUAUAAGCAAGGCUGGAACCACAGGCUGUCUAAUUCUGCAGGAAAAGGAAACUCAACACAUCCACCUCUCCUUGCAACUUUUAGUAUUAAGUGCUGAUCUUUCUUCCAGCAUGUUAAUGGAUUCCAUGUAAACAUGAAACUCCAGAGCUGGGCUCGUUGCUCCCCAUAACUACAACCCCUUGAAAUACAGCACUAACUGCCUUUGAAGCAUUAGUGGGUUUGGGCCUAAGUCUCACGUGAAGACACAGUCCAGCAAGCUGGUAAGGCCAGUUUGGGCAAACAAGGAAGGAACAGAGUACUUUGGAUUCAAAGCAUGCAGGUAUAGCCCAACCACUAGCCAGGGCUACCAGAGAAACGCCAGCCAGCAGCCCCCUUCCAGCAGGCAGCACACCCACCCAGCAGCACCUUCCCCAGGGCUCCUUCCCCUCCUCAGAAGCCCUCGAACCGGACCAGGCCCUGCCGAGCUCACAAAGGGGCCCCUCCUGUGCCAGGGCCACAGCAGCCACUGCCAGUGCCAACACACAUCCUACCACCGGCCUCAGGGUUCACUCCAUCCUCUAGUGAACCUCGGAAGACAGAGGGAGUCCAGUCUGAAAAAACAGCUUUAUCAUAAAAAUACAACUCAGUUUGCUGAUAAAACCUGUAAAGGAGAAUGCUUCCCCCCCUACAGUCUUCAUGGACAAGUUCUGCAAGCAAGAAGAGCUGUGAUGAGGUGGUUUCUGACUUCUCCUCUGCAAGACAAAGUCAUCCUAGGAGGAACUGCACAUGAAUCCAUAAGAAAUGCACCACAGCCACAGGUUUGACAGGUAAUUCAUUACCUUUGGAGUUAUUUGGGAGUGUGGUGGCUACUCAAUUGCUCAGUGCAUUUUGAGGUGAUAAAACAUUUAUGCGGAUGUUACUGAUCAGCCCAGGAUUUAAUAUAUUUUUAUUUCGAAAAGGUAACAUACCAAAACAUUUCAAAUUAGGUCUUGAGUUAAAGGUAGUACAGGUUGUACUUUAUAUAUAAUGAUUUGUAAGAGAAAGAUGAUAACAAAGGCAAUCAUUUAAAAUCAGGUUUCAAGGGUUAGGGCUGGUUUUUGUAACGUUCCUCUGAG